AUGCCAUCGAGAAAUCAUCUUGACAAAGUCGGUAGGAAGAAGAAGAAGAAAUGGACCGAGGAGGCCAUGGAACGUGCACUGAUCGAGGUGAAGUCAGGAAGGUGUACAGUGAGACAGGCUGCCAAAGAGUUUGGAGUCCCUAAAUCUUCACUGGGGGACAGAGUCAGUGGACGGGUGACACCAGGGAGUCGCAGCGGGCCAGCUCAACUUAUAACAUCUGCAGACGAGGAGCUGUUGGUGGAGUUCUCUAUAUACAUGUCCAAGCAUGGUUUCCCACUGACGAAGCAACAGCUGGUGUCCUUUGCCUCAUCCAUUUAUAAGCGGCAGCAUCGGAGGGUGGCAUUUUCUAAACUAGGCCAGACCUGGUGGCUCAAUUUCAGAAAACGCCAAGAAAAGAAUAUCACCAUUCAGCCAGCAGACAAUGCUGUCCGUGGAAGGACAACAUGUGUGAGAAAAGAAGCAGUGGAUCAGUUUUUACAUUUACUGAGUACGGUCAUGGACGCUCGAGGGCUCAGAGACAAGCCUCAUCAAAUCUUCAACUGCAAUGAGACAGGAUUUCAGCUGGGCAGGAAGAGAGUGAUUCUCCCCAAAUCUGCCAGUCUGGGCCACAAAGCAACGCCAGGAUCGAGGGACCACAUCUCCGUCCUGGCUUGCUUUAGCGCAGCUGGAGAGGAAAUUCACCCAUUUAUUAUCUACUCAAAGGCAUACCCAGGGGGAGUAUGUUACAAGACUCAAGGGCCUCCAAAUGCCCUCUAUGGAUGGUCAGACUCUGGUUAUAUCAACUCAGACCUUUUCAAGAAAUGGUUCCUCAAGCACUUCCUCCUUCACGCACCAAAGGAGCGUCCGCUGCUCCUGAUUUUCGAUGGUCACAAGUCUCCCAUAAACCUUGAGGUGGUGGAAACAGCUCGUAACGAGGACGUCAUCCUUCUGUGCCUUCCACCGCAUUGCUCUCACAUCCUGCAGCCACUCGACGCGGGUCUCUUUGUCCUCCUGAAGCAGCGGUUUGCAGCCCUCAUAGGUGAUGGUUGUGCUACUGAUACUCACUUUGCAGUUAGCAAGAAGGAGUUCUCAGGUGUAUUUAAAGGGACGUAUCAGGUAGCAAAGGAAGAGGAGGGUGUCAGUAUUGUGAAGGAAGGCUAUAGGAAAUGUGGCAUCUACCCGCUGAACCACUUUGCCAUCAACGAGGGUCAUUUAAUGCCAUUGCACAGCAUGUGCCCAGCAACUGGACCCUCCUUGUCCGCAUCGGCACAGGGAGUGCACAAUGAAGGAGACCUCACAGCAGCUGGAUCCUCCUUGUCCGCAUCGGCACAGGAAGUGCACAAUGAAGGAGACCUCACAGCUGCUGGAUCCUCCUCAUGA
Cyclopterus lumpus (lumpfish) is the source of this 1359-nucleotide long non-coding RNA. NCBI's taxonomy places the organism in Eukaryota, Metazoa, Chordata, Actinopteri, Perciformes, Cyclopteridae. The record is from Ensembl.